Molecule: ribosomal RNA, 682 nt
Filed under: uncultured bacterium
Lineage: Bacteria
Description: bacterial SSU rRNA
Rfam family: Bacterial small subunit ribosomal RNA
Source: RNAcentral
UGCAGUCGUACGCGGGGCUCUCCUUCGGGAGGGCUGCCGAGUGGCGAACGGGUGCGUAACGCGUAGGUAACCUGCCCUCGAGUGGGGGAUAACCCCGGGAAACCGGGGCUAAUACCGCAUAUUGUCUUAGCAUCGCAUGAUGCUAAGAUGAAAGCCUUUGGGCGCUCGAGGAGGGGCCUGCGUCGGAUUAGCUAGUUGGUGGGGUAAUGGCCCACCAAGGCGACGAUCCGUAGCUGGUCUGAGGGGACGGCCAGCCACACUGGCACUGAGACACGGGCCAGACUCCUACGGGAGGCAGCAGUGGGGAAUCUUGGGCAAUGGGCGAAAGCCUGACCCAGCCACGCCGCGUGGAGGAUGAAGCCCCUCGGGGUGUAAACUCCUUUUCUGGGGGAAGAAAUCCCGGCUGUUGUCGGGACUGACGGUACCCCAGGAAUAAGCGCCGGCUAACUCCGUGCCAGCAGCCGCGGUAAUACGGAGGGCGCAAGCGUUGCCCGGAAUCACUGGGUGUAAAGGGUGCGUAGGCGGGGCUGUAAGUCAGGGGUGAAAUCCUUCGGCUCAACCGAAGAAUUGCCCCUGAUACUGCAGCUCUUGAGUCCCGGAGAGGCCGCUGGAAUUCGUGGUGUAGCGGUGAAAUGCGUAGAUAUCACGAGGAACACCAGAGGCGAAGGCGGGCGGCUAGACG